Parcubacteria bacterium C7867-002 is the source of this 84-nucleotide non-coding RNA. NCBI's taxonomy places the organism in Bacteria, Candidatus Parcubacteria. The record is from Rfam.
GCCCGGGUGGCGAAAUUGGUAUACGCAACAGACUUAAAAUUUGUCGACCGCAAGGUCAUGUGGGUUCGAUUCCCACCCCGGGCA